RNAcentral lists this ribosomal RNA (767 nucleotides) under uncultured bacterium. RNAcentral's name for it is "bacterial SSU rRNA". It matches the Rfam family "Bacterial small subunit ribosomal RNA", at positions 1 to 757 of the family's 1533-position model. The record is from RNAcentral.
UUAGAGUUUGAUCCUGGCUCAGGAUGAACGCUGGCGGCGUGCCUAAUACAUGCAAGUCGAACGCACAGCGAAAGGUGCUUGCACCUUUCAAGUGAGUGGCGAACGGGUGAGUAACACGUGGAUAACCUACCUCAAGGUUGGGGAUAACAUUUGGAAACAGAUGCUAAUACCGAAUAAAACUUAGUAUCGCAUGAUACCAGGUUAAAAGGCGCUACGGCGUCACCUAGAGAUGGAUCCGCGGUGCAUUAGUUAGUUGGUGGGGUAAAGGCUUACCAAGACAAUGAUGCAUAGCCGAGUUGAGAGACUGAUCGGCCACAUUGGGACUGAGACACGGCCCAAACUCCUACGGGAGGCUGCAGUAGGGAAUCUUCCACAAUGGGCGAAAGCCUGAUGGAGCAACGCCGCGUGUGUGAUGAAGGCUUUCGGGUCGUAAAGCACUGUUGUAUGGGAAGAACAGCUAGAGUAGGGAAUGACUUUAGUUUGACGGUACCAUACCAGAAAGGGACGGCUAAAUACGUGCCAGCAGCCGCGGUAAUACGUAUGUCCCGAGCGUUAUCCGGAUUUAUUGGGCGUAAAGCGAGCGCAGACGGUUAAUUAAGUCUGAUGUGAAAGCCCGGAGCUCAACUCCGGAAGGGCAUUGGAAACUGGUUAACUUGAGUGCAGUAGAGGUAAGUGGAACUCCAUGUGUAGCGGUGGAAUGCGUAGAUAUAUGGAAGAACACCAGCGGCGAAGGCGGCUUACUGGACUGUAACUGACGUAGGCUCGAA